CCCUUAGAUGUUCUGGGCCGCACGCGUGCUACACUGAGUGGAUCAGCGGGUCAGGUUGCGCGAAAGCGUUUCCUAAUCUUUAAAUCCGCUCGUGAUGGGGAUUGACGGUUGCAAUUUUCUGUCAUGAACGAGGAAUACCUUGUAAGCGCGGGUCAUCAUCCCGCACUGAAUACGUCCCUGCCCUUUGUACACACCGCCCGUCGCUCCUACCGAUUGAGUGGUCCGGUGAGGCUUUGGGAUCUGAGCGGAAAGAGCGUUUCGCUGUUUCUGCUCGGAAAACUCAGUCGAACCUUAUCAUUUAGAGGAAGGAGAAGUCGUAACA
RNAcentral lists this ribosomal RNA (322 nucleotides) under uncultured eukaryote. RNAcentral describes it as "partial 18S ribosomal RNA". It matches the Rfam family "Eukaryotic small subunit ribosomal RNA", at positions 1470 to 1796 of the family's 1831-position model. The record is from RNAcentral.